AUGCUAGACGCGCUUCCGACGCGUGAUGAUGACGACACGCAUAGAAAUAGAACUAGGUGGAAUGACGCGUACAACUUUUUAUGGAAACACAAGAGACAUUACUUAAAAAAAUCUGUUGUCGUAAAUAGCUUUGAUAAGGGAGGUCUUAACUUUCUUGACUUCGCUUCUUUAAAUAAUACGUUUAAGAUCAAUUGGUUGAGGCAAUUUCUGACUGAUUCUGAUUCCAUAUGGAACACUAUUCCUAACUAUAUCUUUUCUAAAGUCGGUGGUCUUCCCUUUCUCUUAGUAUGUAACUACAAUAUUUCUAAAUUGCCCAUCAAAUUAUCAAAUUUCCAUAAACAGAUGUUUUUGGCUUGGCAUUUAAUUUACAAACAUAAUUUUAGUCCCCACAGGUAUUUUAUUUGGAAUAACCAUGAUAUCCGAUAUAAAAAUAAAACUCUUUUUUUUCCAGAUUGGUUUACUAACAAUAUUCUUUUGGUUUCUCAACUUUUAAAUUCAAAUGGUCUUUUGUUUUCUUAUUCUGAAUUUUUAGCUAAAUAUUGUAUUCCUGUCACCCCACGAGACUUUGCUAUAGUGAUGGAUGCUAUCCCUAGUGGAGCUAUUGCUCUUUUAAAAAACUCAGGAGACUCUUCACAUUUUUUUACCUCUUGGGCUCAUCUUUUUGAGACAACAAUAGGGAAGGUUUGUUUUUUGUCCAGUCCUUCUCUAAGGAAUAGAAGGAUUAGACAACUCUUUCAGAAUGAUAUCAUCACUGUCCCUUCUGUAAUAUCUUAUUGGAGUAAUUGUUUUAAUAAUAUUCCUUGGAAGAAAGUGUGGUCUUUACCCAACAAAUAUUUAAUCACUAAUAAGGUUAAAGAGGUUUCAUUUAAGUUGUUAUACCGUUUCUACCCUGUCAAUCUUUAUAUCCAAAAAAUGUUUCCUGAGAAGGAUUCUCUAUGCUCUUUUUGUGGGGCAGAAGAUGAGUCUAUCCCUCACCUUUUCUGGGAGUGUGUUCAUGUAGCUAUUUUUUGGAAGAAAUUUUGUUUAUUUAUACAUGCUUCUUUUUUUGAAAAUUUUUCUUUGACAUUUAAGGAUGUAUUAUUUGGAUUAUAUAACUCCGAUAAAAAUCUAAAAGACAAGUACUUUCUUAUAAAUCUAUUUAUUUUUCUUGCCAAGUUUUUUAUACAUAAGUGUAAAUUUUUGUCUCUUAAACCUCUUUUUAUUAUUUUUUGUCAAGAUUUGAAAUGUUAUUUGGGCACUAUUUCCUCUUCCAGCAGUGUCAAAGCCCUAAAGUCCAAUUCGUUGUGCACGAAGUAUAAUAUUUAUGCCUUUUUAUGAUGUUCAAAGAAGAAGGAAAGGGAAAGGAAAAAAGGAAGAGAAAAAAAAAAAAAAAAAAAAAAGGACCCUUCUCUUCUUUUUUCAGUAUAAUUUAAGUUAUAUUACCUCUGGCUCAUAGGUUUUUUUUUUAAUUAUUAUUAUUUUUAUUUAUUUAUUUAUUUUUUGUUUGUUUGUUUUCUCCAUUGUUCAUAUAUUUACUUAUUUUCUCGUUUGUUUCCUUACUGUUUUUGUGUUUGCUUAUAAUUCUAUUGUUGUUAAAUUCCUUGAACUGUAAUUUUUGUCUUUAUAUGUCAAUAAAAAAAUAAAAAAAAGAAUGACGCGUACAUAUUUUAUAUUUUCAUAAAAAUAAAAUGCAGUCCUUAUAAAAUCAGUCAACAUAUUUGACAUCGCUAAUUGAUAAUCUAGUUUAAAUUUGAUGUAUUUGAUAGUUUACACGAUGUGUAACUUUUAUCGGACUAUUAUUUCCUGCAGAUUUUCUCCACUCACGUGAUUGAUUUGUACUCAGUUUUAAUUAUGUUGGGGAAAAAUAACUUGUUUGGUUUUGAUAAUACGGGACCCUGAAAAUCAAAUUAUAGUUCACCCAAAAUCAAAAUGUUAUCAUUAUUCACCCUUCGCCGGAAGUUUGAUUGACAGGCGAUCUGACCAAUCAGAACGCUGAUAUUAUGCGCCCCCCCCCCACCCCCACCCCCGUGAAUGCCCGCCAUUUUGUCCGACAAACAAACCAGUCCGACAAAGCAGGUGUAGUAGACUAACAUCGGCGAUGAAAAAUGGUGAAAAGGUGCUCGUAUUGGACUUGCAAAGCGGACAGCAGGUACCCAGAAAGGCUGUGGAACAUACAGUUUCACCCGUUUCCUAAACCUGCAACAAACCUGGAAAAGUGUAUGAAGUGGAUACGUUUGUGUGGACGGCCUCAGCAACUUAGUUUGGACAAGCUGAGGAAUCAUUCAACAGCCAAACACUUCUAUGUGUGUUCAAAGCACUUCGUUGACGGCCGACCGACACCCGCUCAUCCUGAUCCUCUGCCAGCAUUGAAAUGUGACCGUAGUAACGUUACACCAGUGAGACGUCCGCCAAAGUUGCGAACAGUGUCAGUGCCAGCAAGGAAAAGACGAGUUGACAGCAUGCCAGACAAUGCUGAAACCAGCAGAGUCAGGUGUGAUCUACAAGGCGUUUCCAUGGAUAUUACAGGAAAGAUGGCAACAGAAUCAUUAAUGGAGGAUACCACUACAGAGGAGAGCACUAUAUUCAUUGAUAUAGAGUACAUAGCUGACUAAGCCCAAAUGGGAGAAAAACAGGAGGAACUGAAGGCUCUCCUCGCUCAAAAAUAAAAAGAAAAUGAUCUGCUAAGG
RNA transcript from Megalobrama amblycephala (Wuchang bream), 2666 nucleotides. RefSeq lists it as uncharacterized. The transcript is spliced from 4 exons. The record is from RefSeq and is a predicted model, not a curated record. Lineage: Eukaryota; Metazoa; Chordata; Actinopteri; Cypriniformes; Xenocyprididae.